Molecule: long non-coding RNA, 277 nt
Filed under: Brassica napus (rape)
Lineage: Eukaryota; Viridiplantae; Streptophyta; Magnoliopsida; Brassicales; Brassicaceae
Description: long non-coding RNA (BNAP_LNC009395)
Source: RNAcentral
UCACCGGAAAGCCUUGUAUUUUAGUCUCAACAUCCUCCAGUGAGUAUAGUUUCUUGAAAUAAUUAACCGCAAGCGUCUCAAGCUCAUGUGCAUCCGAUACCCAUUGAUUCUCGUCAUUCUUCAGCAUCUCAACACGGUUUCGCCUGAUAAUUAUUGACAUAUGAAAGAACUUUGUGUUCUUAUCUCCAUGAAGCACCCACUUCUCCCGUGAUUUCUGAAACCAAAUAUGUUCUUCUUGUGCAAGUGCUAUCUCAAACUCCUUAAGUAACUCACCCUC